GUUGUUUUCUCGAAAAUCAAUUAAAAAUGACUUGAUUUUGUGUUGUAUUGACCUUAAAAGCUUUCUUCACUUUUUUCAUGUCUUUUUUAAUGCACUUUUCGUUUAACAAGUCAACAUCAGUUUCUUUUGUUGUAAAAAGGUCAUUGGAAGGUGGCUUUCUUUUCGGAGAAAGUGUUUAUAGCCUUUGACUCCUGCAAUCGGAGAGACUGAGGUCUGCAGCGUAGAUCCUUCUUGGAUUAGAUUCAAUUGUGCUAAGUUAUAGCUUUUCAUAGACAACUUGUUGACUAUGUUUUGUCAUGUAGCUUACUCGCUUUUGAAAUUUUACCUAC
This 329-nucleotide ribosomal RNA is filed under the name uncultured Neocallimastigales. Its description in RNAcentral is "partial large subunit ribosomal RNA". Lineage: Eukaryota; Fungi; Neocallimastigomycota; Neocallimastigomycetes; Neocallimastigales. The record is from RNAcentral.